Molecule: ribosomal RNA, 253 nt
Filed under: uncultured bacterium
Lineage: Bacteria
Description: partial 16S ribosomal RNA
Rfam family: Bacterial small subunit ribosomal RNA
Source: RNAcentral
UACGGAGGGUGCGAGCGUUGUCCGGAAUCACUGGGCGUAAAGGGCGCGUAGGCGGCCCGUCAAGCGUGUGGUGAAAGCCCGGGGCUCAACCCCGGGUCGGCCGUGCGGACUGGCGGGCUCGAGCACUGUAGGGGCGGGUGGAAUUCCGGGUGUAGCGGUGGAAUGCGUAGAGAUCGGGAAGAAUAUCAGUGGCGAAGGCGGCCUGCUGGGCUGUUGCUGACGCUGAGGCGCGACAGCGUGGGGAGCAAACAGG